GAUGAACGCUAGCGGCAGGCUUAACACAUGCAAGUCGAGGGGCAGCAUGUCCGAACUUUCGGGUUUGGAUGAUGGCGACCGGCGCAAGGGUGCGUAACGCGUGAGCAACUUGCCCGUUUCAGGGGGAUAACCGUUGGAAACGACGACUAAUACCCCAUGGUAUCACUUUAAGGCAUCUUUUAGUGAUUAAAGAAUUUCGGAUAAGGAUAGGCUCGCGUGACAUUAGCUAGAUGGCGGGGUAACGGCCCACCAUGGCGACGAUGUCUAGGGGUUCUGAGAGGAAGGUCCCCCACACUGGAACUGAGACACGGUCCAGACUCCUACGGGAGGCAGCAGUGAGGAAUAUUGGUCAAUGGCCGAGAGGCUGAACCAGCCAUGCCGCGUGAAGGUCACGGCCCUAUGGGUCUUAAACUUCUUUUGUAAGGGAGCAAUAAGGUUCACGUGUGGACUGAUGAGAGUACCUUACGAAUAAGCAUCGGCUAACUCCGUG
This 490-nucleotide ribosomal RNA is filed under the name uncultured bacterium. Its description in RNAcentral is "bacterial SSU rRNA". It matches the Rfam family "Bacterial small subunit ribosomal RNA", at positions 28 to 507 of the family's 1533-position model. The record is from RNAcentral.